GAUGAACGCUAGCUACAGGCUUAACACAUGCAAGUCGAGGGGCAGCGGGAUUGAAGCUUGCUUCAAUUGCCGGCGACCGGCGCACGGGUGAGUAACGCGUAUCCAACCUUCCGUACACUCAGGGAUAGCCUUUCGAAAGAAAGAUUAAUACCUGAUGGUAUGAUGAGAUUGCAUGAUAGCAUCAUUAAAGAUUUAUCGGUGUACGAUGGGGAUGCGUUCCAUUAGGUAGUAGGCGGGGUAACGGCCCACCUAGCCAACGAUGGAUAGGGGUUCUGAGAGGAAGGUCCCCCACAUUGGAACUGAGACACGGUCCAAACUCCUACGGGAGGCAGCAGUGAGGAAUAUUGGUCAAUGGACGAGAGUCUGAACCAGCCAAGUAGCGUGAAGGAUGAAGGUCCUACGGAUUGUAAACUUCUUUUAUAAGGGAAUAAACCCUCCCAGUGUGGGAGCUUGUAUGUACCUUAUGAAUAAGCAUCGGCUAACUCCGUGCCAGCAGCCG
Molecule: ribosomal RNA, 499 nt
Filed under: uncultured bacterium
Lineage: Bacteria
Description: bacterial SSU rRNA
Rfam family: Bacterial small subunit ribosomal RNA
Source: RNAcentral